GUGGUGAUAGCGGAGAGGAAACACCCGUUCCCAUCCCGAACACGGAAGUUAAGCUCUCCAGCGCCGAUGGUAGUUGGGGCCAGCGCCCCUGCAAGAGUAGGUCGCUGCUAGGCAAUC
RNAcentral lists this ribosomal RNA (117 nucleotides) under Geobacillus thermodenitrificans NG80-2. The record is from RNAcentral. Lineage: Bacteria; Bacillati; Bacillota; Bacilli; Caryophanales; Anoxybacillaceae.